Molecule: ribosomal RNA, 253 nt
Filed under: uncultured bacterium
Lineage: Bacteria
Description: partial 16S ribosomal RNA
Rfam family: Bacterial small subunit ribosomal RNA
Source: RNAcentral
UACAGAGGGUGCAAGCGUUGUUCGGAAUUAUUGGGCGUAAAGGGUUCGUAGGCGGUGUGGCAAGUCGGGAGUGAAAUCUCUGGGCUCAACCCAGAGCCUGCUUCCGAAACUGCUGUGCUUGAGUGUGGGAGAGGCGCGUGGAAUUGCAGGUGUAGCGGUGAAAUGCGUAGAUAUCUGCAGGAACACCCGUGGCGAAAGCGGCGCGCUGGACCACUACUGACGCUGAGGAACGAAAGCUAGGGGAGCAAACAGG